ACUCCUACGGGAGGCAGCAGUGGGGAAUAUUGGGCAAUGGAGGAAACUCUGACCCAGCGACGCCGCGUGCGGGAUGAAGGCCUUCGGGUUGUAAACCGCUUUCAGCAGGGACGAAGCGAAAGUGACUGUACCUGCAGAAGAAGCACCGGCCAACUACGUGCCAGCAGCCGCGGUAAUAC
This 179-nucleotide ribosomal RNA is filed under the name uncultured bacterium. RNAcentral's name for it is "partial 16S ribosomal RNA". It matches the Rfam family "Bacterial small subunit ribosomal RNA", at positions 335 to 526 of the family's 1533-position model. The record is from RNAcentral.